RNAcentral lists this long non-coding RNA (237 nucleotides) under Gossypium raimondii (Peruvian cotton). Its description in RNAcentral is "long non-coding RNA (GRAI_LNC009997)". Lineage: Eukaryota; Viridiplantae; Streptophyta; Magnoliopsida; Malvales; Malvaceae. The record is from RNAcentral.
GUUGACCUUCUAUUUUUAUUUUCGGUUGUUUUAUUUUUAUUUGUUAGACUUCUUUAGUUUAUUUUUAUUUUGAACAAUGUUUUUAUUUUUCUUAUUUUGAUGGUUGUUUUUAUUCAAGUUUAUAACCUCUAAAUCUUCUUAUUUAUUUGUGUUUAUCCUCUUAUUAGUUUGCUUACCAACCUGCAGUACAUUUAGACUUGCCUACAAUUUCAUUUUUCUUUAUUCAGGUGAUUUCAU